AAGUCGUAACAAGGUUUCCGUAGGUGAACCUGCGGAAGGAUCAUUAACACGUUUUCCAAACGUUAUUGACCCAUUCUAUUUUCCGUGCACACACAUGCGUCCGGCCUCCCAGCCGCCUGUCGGGUUUACUCGGCGUGGCCUGUUGGGCGUCUUUGGGAUCAAAGGGGUGAGUUGGGUGGAGAGCAAUCUCUGUCUAGCUUUUUCCCUCCCUCUGGCGUUGCCACCUCACCCAAACCCUUUAAUCUAAUCUAUCUGAACUUUUAGUUGGCCUCUUCACCGAGUACAACGAUACAAAAACAAACAACAACUCUUAACAACGGAUAUCUUGGUUCUC
RNAcentral lists this unclassified non-coding RNA (334 nucleotides) under fungal sp. RNAcentral describes it as "partial internal transcribed spacer region". The stretch from base 1 to 46 matches the Rfam family "Eukaryotic small subunit ribosomal RNA", at positions 1786 to 1831 of the family's 1831-position model. The record is from RNAcentral. Lineage: Eukaryota; Fungi.